GGGUUGUGAGGUUAAGCGACUAAGCGUACACGGUGGAUGCCCUGGCAGUCAGAGGCGAUGAAGGGCGUGCUAAUCUGCGAUAAGCGCCGGUAAGGUGAUAUGAACCGUUAUAACCGGCGAUACCCGAAUGGGGAAACCCAGUGUGAUUCGUCACACUAUCAUUAACUGAAUCCAUAGGUUAAUGAGGCGAACCGGGGGAACUGAAACAUCUAAGUACCCCGAGGAAAAGAAAUCAACCGAGAUUCCCCCAGUAGCGGCGAGCGAACGGGGAGGAGCCCAGAGCCUGAAUCAGCAUGUGUGUUAGUGGAAGCGUCUGGAAAGGCGCGCGAUACAGGGUGACAGCCCCGUACACAAAAGCGCAUGUGCUGUGAGCUCGAUGAGUAGGGCGGGACACGUGGUAUCCUGUCUGAAUAUGGGGGGACCAUCCUCCAAGGCUAAAUACUCCUGACUGACCGAUAGUGAACCAGUACCGUGAGGGAAAGGCGAAAAGAACCCCGGCGAGGGGAGUGAAAAAGAACCUGAAACCGUGUACGUACAAGCAGUGGGAGCACCCUUUUGGGUGUGACUGCGUACCUUUUGUAUAAUGGGUCAGCGACUUAUAUUCUGUAGCAAGGUUAACCGAAUAGGGGAGCCGGAGGGAAACCGAGUCUUAACCGGGCGUUAAGUUGCAGGGUAUAGACCCGAAACCCGGUGAUCUAGCCAUGGGCAGGUUGAAGGUUGGGUAACACUAACUGGAGGACCGAACCGACUAAUGUUGAAAAAUUAGCGGAUGACCUGUGGCUGGGGGUGAAAGGCCAAUCAAACCGGGAGAUAGCUGGUUCUCCCCGAAAGCUAUUUAGGUAGCGCCUCGUGAAUUCAUCUCCGGGGGUAGAGCACUGUUUCGGCUAGGGGGCCAUCCCGGCUUACCAACCCGAUGCAAACUGCGAAUACCGGAGAAUGUUAUCACGGGAGACACACGGCGGGUGCUAACGUCCGUCGUGAAGAGGGAAACAACCCAGACCGCCAGCUAAGGUCCCAAAGUCAUGGUUAAGUGGGAAACGAUGUGGGAAGGCCCAGACAGCCAGGAUGUUGGCUUAGAAGCAGCCAUCAUUUAAAGAAAGCGUAAUAGCUCACUGGUCGAGUCGGCCUGCGCGGAAGAUGUAACGGGGCUAAACCAUGCACCGAAGCUGCGGCAGCG
This 1177-nucleotide ribosomal RNA is filed under the name Salmonella enterica subsp. enterica serovar Newport. RNAcentral describes it as "partial 23S ribosomal RNA". It matches the Rfam family "Bacterial large subunit ribosomal RNA", at positions 1 to 1210 of the family's 2925-position model. Lineage: Bacteria; Pseudomonadati; Pseudomonadota; Gammaproteobacteria; Enterobacterales; Enterobacteriaceae. The record is from RNAcentral.